This 326-nucleotide ribosomal RNA is filed under the name uncultured bacterium. RNAcentral's name for it is "bacterial SSU rRNA". It matches the Rfam family "Bacterial small subunit ribosomal RNA", at positions 29 to 334 of the family's 1533-position model. The record is from RNAcentral.
AUGAACGCUGGCGGCGUGCUUAACACAUGCAAGUCGAACGAAGAGGGUUAGAAUGAGAGCUUCGGCAGGAUUUCUUUCCAUCUUAGUGGCGGACGGGUGAGUAACGUGUGGGCAACCUGCCCUGUACUGGGGAAUAAUCAUUGGAAACGAUGACUAAUACCGCAUGUGGUCCUCGGAAGGCAUCUUCUGAGGAAGAAAGGAUUUAUUCGGUACAGGAUGGGCCCGCAUCUGAUUAGCUAGUUGGUGAGAUAACAGCCCACCAAGGCGACGAUCAGUAGCCGACCUGAGAGGGUGAUCGGCCACAUUGGGACUGAGACACGGCCCAA